GACGAACGCUGGCGGCGUGCCUAAUACAUGCAAGUCGAGCGAAGUUUUUCUGGUGCUUGCACUAGAAAAACUUAGCGGCGAACGGGUGAGUAACACGUAAAGAACCUGCCUCAUAGACUGGGACAACUAUUGGAAACGAUAGCUAAUACCGGAUAACAGUAUUUCUCGCAUGAGAGAUAUUUAAAAGUUGGUUAUGCUAACACUAUGAGAUGGCUUUGCGGUGCAUUAGCUAGUUGGUGGGGUAAAGGCCCACCAAGGCGACGAUGCAUAGCCGACCUGAGAGGGUGAUCGGCCACACUGGGACUGAGACACGGCCCAGACUCCUACGGGAGGCAGCAGUAGGGAAUCUUCCGCAAUGGGCGAAAGCCUGACGGAGCAACGCCGCGUGAGUGAAGAAGGAUUUCGGUUCGUAAAGCGCUGUUGUUAGGGAAGAAUGGAUAUGUAGUAACUAUACAUGUAAGAGACGGUACCUAACCAGAAAGCCACGGCUAACUACGU
RNAcentral lists this ribosomal RNA (498 nucleotides) under uncultured bacterium. Its description in RNAcentral is "partial 16S ribosomal RNA". It matches the Rfam family "Bacterial small subunit ribosomal RNA", at positions 28 to 506 of the family's 1533-position model. The record is from RNAcentral.